UACGAAGAGGCCGUAACACAGGUGCUGCAUGGCUGUCGUCAGCUCGUGUCGUGAGAUGUUGGGUUAAGUCCCGCAACGAGCGCAACCCUUGUCAUUAGUUGCUACAUUCAGUUGGGCACUCUAAUGAGACUGCCGGUGACAAGCCGGAGGAAGGUGGGGAUGACGUCAAGUCCUCAUGGCCCUUAUAGGUGGGGCUACACACGUCAUACAAUGGCUGGUACAAAGGGUUGCCAACCCGCGAGGGGGAGCCAAUCCCAUAAAGCCAGUCGUAGUCCGGAUCGUAGUCUGCAACUCGACUACGUGAAGUCGGAAUCGCUAGUAAUCGUGGAUCAGAAUGUCACGGUGAAUACGUUCCCGGGUCUU
RNAcentral lists this ribosomal RNA (363 nucleotides) under uncultured Rhodoferax sp. Its description in RNAcentral is "bacterial SSU rRNA". It matches the Rfam family "Bacterial small subunit ribosomal RNA", at positions 1017 to 1382 of the family's 1533-position model. Lineage: Bacteria; Pseudomonadati; Pseudomonadota; Betaproteobacteria; Burkholderiales; Comamonadaceae. The record is from RNAcentral.